This 459-nucleotide ribosomal RNA is filed under the name uncultured bacterium. RNAcentral describes it as "bacterial SSU rRNA". It matches the Rfam family "Bacterial small subunit ribosomal RNA", at positions 355 to 804 of the family's 1533-position model. The record is from RNAcentral.
UGGGGAAUAUUGGACAAUGGGCGCAAGCCUGAUCCAGCGACGCCGCGUGUGUGAAGAAGGCCUGCGGGUUGUAAAGCACUUUCGAUGGGAACGAAAUGUGCCGGGUUAAUACCCCGGUAAGCUGACGUUACUCAAUGAAGAAGCACCGGCUAACUCUGUGCCAGCAGCCGCGGUAAUACAGAGGGUGCGAGCGUUAAUCGGAAUUACUGGGCGUAAAGCGCACGUAGGUGGCGACGUAAGUCGGGUGUGAAAGCCCCGGGCUCAACCUGGGAAUUGCAUUCGAGACUGCAUUGCUGGAGUACGGAAGAGGAGGGCGGAAUUCCCGGUGUAGCGGUGAAAUGCGUAGAUAUCGGGAGGAACAUCAGUGGCGAAGGCGGCCCUCUGGUCCAGUACUGACACUCAAGUGCGAAAGCGUGGGGAGCAAACAGGAUUAGAUACCCUUGUAGUCCCUGAGCGGGC